This 62-nucleotide transfer RNA is filed under the name Yininemertes pratensis. RNAcentral's name for it is "tRNA-Tyr". Lineage: Eukaryota; Metazoa; Nemertea; Pilidiophora; Heteronemertea; Lineidae. The record is from RNAcentral.
CGAAAGGUGGCUGAGAGAAGGCGAUGGAUUGUAGCUCUGUUUACGGAAUUUUCCUCUUUUGA